Molecule: unclassified non-coding RNA, 358 nt
Filed under: uncultured fungus
Lineage: Eukaryota; Fungi
Description: partial contains 5.8S ribosomal RNA and internal transcribed spacer 2
Rfam family: 5.8S ribosomal RNA (bases 1-133)
Source: RNAcentral
UGGCUCUGGCAUCGAUGAAGAACGCAGCGAAAUGCGAUAAGUAAUGCGAAUUGCAGAUCUCAGUGAGUCAUCGAAUCUUUGAACGCACAUUGCGCCCUCUAGUAUUCUGGAGGGCAUGCCUGUUCGAGCGUCACUACAACACUCAAGCUCUGCUUGGCGUUGGAGCCUUAUAGCAGGAUAUUCUUGCUAUAAGCCCUUAAAAUCAGUGGCAGGACCGGCUGGUAGCCCGGGCGAAGUAACAAUUACAACGCCUAGGGAUCUCUAGCUGGACCCUAGCCUUUUGAAAAACCGAGUAUGCGUAGUAAAGUAUGCGUCUCUCUUUAGUGUUGACCUCGGAUCAGGUAGGAAUACCCGCUGA